Molecule: ribosomal RNA, 484 nt
Filed under: uncultured bacterium
Lineage: Bacteria
Description: partial 16S ribosomal RNA
Rfam family: Bacterial small subunit ribosomal RNA
Source: RNAcentral
AUUGAACGCUGGCGGCAGGCCUAACACAUGCAAGUCGAGCGGAUGAAGGGAGCUUGCUCCUGGAUUCAGCGGCGGACGGGUGAGUAAUGCCUAGGAAUCUGCCUGGUAGUGGGGGAUAACGUCCGGAAACGGGCGCUAAUACCGCAUACGUCCAGAGGGUGAAAGGGGGGGAUCUUCGGACCUCACGCUAUCAGAUGAGCCUAGGUCGGAUUAGCUAGUUGGUGGGGUAAAGGCCUACCAAGGCGACGAUCCGUAACUGGUCUGAGAGGAUGAUCAGUCACACUGGAACUGAGACACGGUCCAGACUCCUACGGGAGGCAGCAGUGGGGAAUAUUGGACAAUGGGCGAAAGCCUGAUCCAGCCAUGCCGCGUGUGUGAAGAAGGUCUUCGGAUUGUAAAGCACUUUAAGUUGGGAGGAAGGGCAGUAAGUUAAUACCUUGCUGUUUUGACGUUACCAACAGAAUAAGCACCGGCUAACUUCGUG